AUGAUGGUGAUUUUCUUCUUCAUGUCUCUGAUGCCCAGAUCUGAAGCCACUGACGUUCCCACCUCUGCAACCUGGAAGCUCCGUUCAGGAGGCGACCUGGAGAUGAUCUUCAUGCACAUGGAAACGUUUCAGGUCAUCAAAUUGUUUAAAUGGACUUUAAUAAAAAUAUGAUACAAUGAAGAUAAAAUGCAGUGUUUAAAUUACAUGAAGCUUUUUGUUAUUAAGGAGGAAAUCAGUUCAAACACACUGUAAGAGCCAGUUAAUGGGGAAUUCAUAUAGAAUAAUAAUUUAGAUUAAAAAUGUAUAAAUAUGCUUAAUUUAAUUUUAAGAAAUUCAUUUUGAGUAUAUUUUCUAAAAUGUAUAACUUAGUUAAUAUAAAGGGAUACUUUUAUUGUGAAAAGUAAUUUUGGCUUCCACUACGUAAUGCAUAACAUUAACAUUGCCCGUAUGCAUGUGUGAGGGCAGAUUGCAGUUGGAUACGGUGGAAGCAACACAAUUUUUUGACCGAUCUGUACCGAGCCUUUCAUUUUUUCUGUAAGUGUAUUUUUGGAGUUCUUUAAGUAAACAUCAUAAAAGAAGACUUGGUUUCAGUCGAGUGAUUCAAAUAUUUGUUGCUAGACAAACUGCAAAGGUGGUACAACGAACUUUUGGGACGCAGAGUGCCACUACAUAAAGUCAAAAAAUUGCUAAUGGAGCCUCAUUUCUUCUUGCCCGAACAACGCGGUUGAAGAGAAAAGAAGCUCGCGCCUCGCUGA
Xiphophorus maculatus (southern platyfish) is the source of this 755-nucleotide long non-coding RNA. RefSeq lists it as uncharacterized. The record is from RefSeq and is a predicted model, not a curated record. NCBI's taxonomy places the organism in Eukaryota, Metazoa, Chordata, Actinopteri, Cyprinodontiformes, Poeciliidae. The transcript has 2 exons.